GACGAACGCUGGCGGCGUGCCUAAUACAUGCCAGUUGAGCGCUGAAGGUUGGUACUUGUACCAACUGGAUGAGCAGCGAACGGGUGAGUAACGCGUGGGGAAUCUGCCUUUGAGCGGGGGACAACAUUUGGAAACGAAUGCUAAUACCGCAUAAAAACUUUAAACACAAGUUUUAAGUUUGAAAGAUGCAAUUGCAUCACUCAAAGAUGAUCCCGCGUUGUAUUAGCUAGUUGGUGAGGUAAAGGCUCACCAAGGCGAUGAUACAUAGCCGACCUGAGAGGGUGAUCGGCCACAUUGGGACUGAGACACGGCCCAAACUCCUACGGGGGGCAGCAGUAGGGAAUCUUCGGCAAUGGACGAAAGUCUGACCGAGCAACGCCGCGUGAGUGAAGAAGGUUUUCGGAUCGUAAAACUCUGUUGGUAGAGAAGAACGUUGGUGAGAGUGGAAAGCUCAUCAAGUGACGGUAACUACCCAGAAAGGGACGGCUAACUACGUG
This 497-nucleotide ribosomal RNA is filed under the name uncultured bacterium. RNAcentral describes it as "partial 16S ribosomal RNA". It matches the Rfam family "Bacterial small subunit ribosomal RNA", at positions 28 to 507 of the family's 1533-position model. The record is from RNAcentral.